Molecule: ribosomal RNA, 468 nt
Filed under: uncultured bacterium
Lineage: Bacteria
Description: partial 16S ribosomal RNA
Rfam family: Bacterial small subunit ribosomal RNA
Source: RNAcentral
GACGAACGCUGGCGGCGUGCCUAACACAUGCAAGUCGAACGGAAAGGCCCUGCUUUUGUGGGGUGCUCGAGUGGCGAACGGGUGAGUAACACGUGAGUAACCUGCCCUUGACUUUGGGAUAUCCUCAGGAAACUGGGGCUCAUACCGGAUAGGAGCUCCUGCUGCAUGGUGGGGGUUGGAAAGUUUCGGCGGUUGGGGAUGUACUCGCGGCUUAUCCGCUUGUUGGUGGGGUAGUGGCUUACCAAGGCUUUGACGGGUAGCCGGCCUGAGAGGGGGACCGGCGACAUUGGGACUGAGAUACGGCCCAGACUCGUACGGGAGGCAGCAGUGGGGAGUAUUACACAAUGGGGGGAAGCCUGAUGCAGCAACGCCGCGAGCGGGAUGACGGCCUUCGGGUUGUAAACCGCUUUCGCCUGAGACGAAGCGUGAGUGACGGUAAUGGGUAAAGAAGCACCGGCUAACUACGUG